RNAcentral lists this ribosomal RNA (253 nucleotides) under uncultured bacterium. RNAcentral describes it as "partial 16S ribosomal RNA". It matches the Rfam family "Bacterial small subunit ribosomal RNA", at positions 524 to 776 of the family's 1533-position model. The record is from RNAcentral.
UACGAACCACCCAAACGUUAUUCGGAAUUACUGGGCUUAAAGGGUGCGUAGGCGGCGCGGCAAGUUGGAUGUGAAAUCCCUCGGCUCAACCGAGGAACUGCGUUCAAAACUACCGUGCUCGAGGAAGACAGAGGUAAGCGGAACUUCGGGUGGAGCGGUGAAAUGCGUUGAUAUCCGAAGGAACACCGGUGGCGAAAGCGGCUUACUGGGUCUUUUCUGACGCUGAUGCACGAAAGCUAGGGGAGCAAACGGG